UGGCAGGUUGAGUGUUGCUCCUCCUCCACUCAGGUGAUUUCUGGUGGGCAGAUUGCAGAGUGGUUUCACCUGUAUAAGUGCUGCGCCUUCUCUGGCGCUCACACUGCUGCCUGGCACUCGUGGCGAGGACUCGGUGUGGCGUCUGUUAGUUGUUGGUUUGUUGUCGGUUGGUGUGGUGUGCUUCAGUCACUUGAAGCGUUGUGGCCGUGUUGUUCGGGGGCGGCAUUGUGAAGAGUGAGGGGAGUGUGGCAUCCGCUCUGUACUGUUGCCGCAGCCGGUGAUCAGUUUCGGGGGCGUAAAGCUCUCUUCGUUCGGCUGUUGGAGCCGCAGCGGUGCUUUUGCUUUUCUUCCUCCUCCUGUGCUCUGGUGAAGCUGCCCUGCACGGCUCUGUGACGUAGCCUCCACCUGGCGAUCCCCAAACGUAAACCAUUCACGGCCUCCGGUCCUGGGGCGGCCGCUCUGUCUUCGCCAGCCGCUUCGUCUUCUCCAUCCACUCCGUCGUCUUCAUCAUCUUCGGCUGCUCCGGCACCGUUGCCUUUUUCCACACAGUCCGAUGUGGCGGUUGCAUUCCCACGCAGCGCUAAGUUUUCAGUCCCACCACAAUUCUUAUCGGUUUGGUUAAUUGUCUGCUUUUCCUUUCAUCUUUUUGUGUUUGUGUUCUUUAGUUUAUUUGUUUGGGUUAAAUCCUAUGCAUACAUAUAUUUUUGUGUUGCGUUUUGUUGACCCAUUUGGGGUUAAGCAUAUCAAUAUUUUCUUAUUAUUUUUGAUCUAUUGCUUUGGGGUUCAACGGAUUAUUUUCUGUUUAGUUUAACAUAGCUGUUGGGUUUGUGUAUGUGUGUGUUUUAUUAUAGUCCUCUGUUUUAAAUGAUUGUCGUAACAACCUGAGUGUUUCGCCACAACAGUAGUGUAAUUCUGUGUUUCUUUCUUGUGUUUCCAGGACAGGAGCUGGUGUAGCGGGCGGCAGGCUUUGAUUUGGUUUGUAGUGGUUAUUUUGUGGUUUUGAGUUUAUUUAGUCUGACCGCCUCGCUACCGCCUAGCUCUGUGCCUGUUGUAUUUAUUUCUACUUUGACUUGACACUUCAUUGGUUGUUGAGGUCCCUGAGCUCUUUUAAUUCCGCUUACCGUAGAUAAAUAAAAUUACAUCUUUUGUAAGUCCGUCUCUCGUCCUUCAUACCAAACGUGCAACGAAUCUGUGUGACCUCUGGUUGGCCAAAGUACAGGGCCAAGGUUGUAUUUCCUGGGGUGCAAUUCCCCAGGUGGCGUUGUCGAGCAACUUUCCCCCCCCCUUCUCUCCAUUAUGCCACAAGUGGCGUUGUCGGCAGGAUGCACUGUUGGAGGACAGAGACGUGACUUUCAAUUGUGUUAUUAGUUUGAGUUUUUUUUUUUCGCUGAGGAGUUUGGCCUGCAAGGUACUUAGCCUACAAGUUUUGUGAAAAACAUAAAAACUUUCAUACGGUAUCUCCGUAAAACGACGGCGAAAGUUACAUUUUUUGAACGUAUAUUACGGACAUACCGGACAGAAAUUUUACGGAGGGGAGGAGUCUCGGAGGAAAAACGGACAUUACGGAGAAUCAUAUAGGAAUGAAUGGACUUUCGGUCGGAGACGGUUUGAUCGCAUACGAGAAUGUACGUAUGUGGAAACGAGGCGUCAGAAGGCCCGUCCCUUCCUCCCAAACCCUGUGAUGCUACAUUAUCAUCUUGUUAGAAACAUGUUUAUCUGAGAGCCAACCCAGUCGCCAAAAGCAUACGUUGACAGUGUACGUUUUCGUGAACACUGGAUUACGUCGCAUUUCAACAUAAAAUAGCGUGCUAAGCACACAUACACGCACGCACGCACGCACGCACGCACGCACGCACACGCACACGCACACGCACACGCACACAAUGCAUUUCGCUGCUAAAACAACAACUUGGGCUGCUUCUAGGACAUUUUGGGUGGAUUUUGAACGGUAUGUGGGCAGGACGUUUUUUGCAGGCAGGACCUGGCAACCCUGCGCUGUUGCCCGAGGUGCAGAAAUGCUCCGGAACAGAUCUGGAUCCACCAUGGCCAAAAUAAUUGUCAUGAAUAGCAUGAAUAGAUUCAUGCAUUAUCAUUCAACUUGAACAUGUGUUUUUACAGUAUAGAGUGGUGGAGGGAUGACGUAUGUUGGCCAACCCGGAAGUGAGCGUCGACCUGGGUUUCCCUUGACAAAAAGCCAACAGGUUUUUCCAUUGGAUUUUGGAUUAUUGCAGAAAAUUAGCAUCUUUGAAGCACCUCCACAAAAACUGAAAAUAAAUAAAUAAAUAAAAAUAACUGUGCUCCAAAGAACGAAAUGUAAACCAAUGCAUUCUGAAUGGGAGUGUUUCUCCGAUUUUUCCAUGCUACACAGAACGAAAUGUAAACCCAUGCAAAUAAAGACUUCAUGGUCAUAAUAAUUUAAAUAUCAUUAUUCUCCUCAGUGUGUAGGGUGGUAUUCUAUUUUUUUCAACGGGGUUGCAUCC
This is a long non-coding RNA of Gadus chalcogrammus (walleye pollock), 2480 nucleotides long. RefSeq lists it as uncharacterized. NCBI's taxonomy places the organism in Eukaryota, Metazoa, Chordata, Actinopteri, Gadiformes, Gadidae. The record is from RefSeq and is a predicted model, not a curated record. The transcript has 3 exons.